UACCAGGAUCAGAGACUUGAGAGUGGAGAUCUUCUCAGCUGGAGGAGCGUGGCCUCUGGCUGGAGACAGAGUUGUUGCAGUUGCUCAGAUCAUGGCUGAGAGUCAGAGCACCAUGGCUGGGGAAGUCUUGACUUCUCACUGUGCAGUAGAAGUCACAGACAGCUCCUGUCCAUGGACAGAGUUCCUGCUUUGCCCCGCGGCUUAGCAGCAAACUCUGGGAUCCUUGUUGAGCAGCUCUAGGCAAAAGAUUGCCCGUAGGCACAAGACUGCUCAUCUGCCAUGUCCAGAGACUCCUUCUUAUAGUGGUUCCAUCCUUUGAUGUCCAUUUGAGUCUUCUGGAUCACAAAAGGCGUUUAUUCCUGCUAUCCUCUGAAUAUUGUCUUUUAAUUACCAAAAAUCUCUCAGGAUAUUUGGUCAGUUCAGAGAGAUCUCAGUCUCAUCUUCUGUUAGCUGCUAUCUUGAGGAGGGGACAUAGCCCAAAGCGAAUCUGCAUCUCUGAGCAAAUGGGCCCCCAAAUGUGCUAGCCUGGUCCCAAAAGGUUUUAAAAGUCAGGAGUUAGUGAGAGAGUUAGUUCUAGUUGUGUGAGACAGCAAUUACAUUAUUUCUUGUUUACCUCUAUCUAGUGUGUAUUUAUAACAAAAGAAUAUUCAAAGUAACAUCAAAAAGGGGCACAUGUGUGAGGCGAGUUAAUCAACACAUUUGGACAUGGCAGAAGCAUCCUGUCAGUGAGGUCAAGAAGAGAUCCCAGAAGACGAGGAUGCAGGAGUCGUAAUUGCACAGAUUGCUUCAUCUACUCAUGGAGUGAUCACAUCUUCUGAAUGGAAAGCAGCCCUCAGUGUUGAUCAAGUGCUUACUGAACUUACAUAACUAAUGGAUGGCUACACAAAAACAAGGAAAAUCACCUUUUUAACUACUGAGAAGAUGCAAAGCUACCACCAAAUUUACACAAUGGCAACAACUGAUAGGGCUUUCCAUGCCAUCUCACCCUGAGGAUGCAGAGAUUUGUGAUCGGUAUACACAAACUUCCUCACUCACUGACAUGAAGGCUGACAAACAUCUUCCCAUCAUUUGGAAACCAUUUUGAGAAUGAGAUUACAACAUCUUUGCCUUUGCCCAAUUCAAGUGUGCAUUCAUAAAAGUGUCCUGUGCAGGCAUGUACUGAAACUAGGACAGACUGAAAAAGGUGUAUAAUACUGGCAACCGCCUCACCACCCUCUGCCAAAAAAACUGCACUCAGAUUCAUAACUAAAUGUAGAGGAGCAGCAAAACAUUGUGGGAGUGCCAGAAAAGAACAAAACAAAAGACACUGCUUUGGUCUCUAGCAUUUCCCAGCUGAAUUUGUAAGGACAGAAUGGGAAGGCUUUUAGCUACUCACACAGGACACAGGCCUGGUUCUCAGGCCCUUCUUCUCUAUGGUUUGCCUCCAUAGAAAACCUGACAAACCUGCAAGCCACUUGCUAGCUAACAGUGCAAACAAAGAGAUUUUGAAAUCCCAGGACCUUGUAUUUUAAAUUGUGUAUUGCUAUGCCUAAAAACUCUUCUUUUGGAAACUAAGAUUGAAUGGGUAAACUUUACUCUCUGUUUUAAGAAAGCUGACAGGAUCAAAAGUUCAUGGCUGCUGUUCUGCAGUUUCAGUUUGAGAGAUAACAGUGUGACAGUUGGGUUUUGGAGGGAAAGGGCGGUUUGAUUGUGUUGGUCAUGGUCUGAAAAAUAGAGGGAAUUUGAGUUAUGCUUAUUGAAUUGUUAAAAAAAAUGUUGGAGUUAUCUGUGUAUAUAAUUUAUAAUUUAUUUUAUUUAUUUAAAAUAUUUAUACCCCGCCCCUCCAGUGCACUACUGCUCGGGGUGGCUCACAACAAUAAGAUAGACAGAUAGAUAGAUUGCGACGUCUGCGCGCCCAGUACUUCCGGCCACUUCUGGGUGAAGAAGAAGAAGGGGUGGCAGGGAGGUAUGCUGCCGCCCUGAGGGAUUUUACAGAACUCCAGCGCUGGCAGGGGGAAAGCAGGGGGAGGGGUAAGUGCACCCUCCCCCACCCUUAAAAUCCUACCCCCCACCCCCGCUGAACAUUUGAACCAUCCAGUGAUCGAAUCUGUUUGGAGGCCCGUAAAAGGGCCUCCAAACAGAUUCGUGCACAUCUCUACCCCACGCCUAAAGCCUUUCCACUCUACUGAGGCUUUUUUUUUUUUUAAUGUGGUAUUACUACAAAGGUUGAAUGGCUGUUUUAGUAGGCGCAGCCAUAGAAAAGAAAAGUCUACUUGGUGGCAGUGGUAAAGCAUAGAUAUCACGGGACUGGUGGGACCUGUACUUCCUCCAUACGUAAUGUCACAGCAGUGGGACAAGUAGUUCUGCCACACUUUUGAAUUGCAUACAGAUGGAAACAAUGCAGUAAAGAUUUACUUUGUUUUCUGUCAUAUUACGAGCCAUCAGAGUAUAUAAUUAACCUCCUCUUAAGAAAGGAUGCAACAUUUGCCUAUAGCCACAUCAGGAAGCAAAUAAUCCUUCCCCCAUGUCAUUUCCACCCCACCCCACCCCACCCCACCCACCUUUUUAUAGAAGUUUGGUUGGGUAAUUCUUUUCUAAUUUGUACACUGCCUGCAUAUGCUAGGAUUGAUAUGGUCCUGUAGUGUUAUGGAUUCUAAGAUGUGAAUUAAUGUAUAUUUUGUC
This is a long non-coding RNA of Hemicordylus capensis (graceful crag lizard), 2661 nucleotides long. RefSeq lists it as uncharacterized. The transcript has 4 exons. NCBI's taxonomy places the organism in Eukaryota, Metazoa, Chordata, Lepidosauria, Squamata, Cordylidae. The record is from RefSeq and is a predicted model, not a curated record.